AUGAGGAAAUCCUUAAGACUUUUACUAGUAAUCCUGUGGCUUCAGUUAACCUGUGUGAGGAGCCAACAGAAGGGAGUGGAGCAGAGUCCUGGAUCUCUGCGUGUUCCAGAGGGAGACGUUGCCUCUCUCAACUGCACUUAUAGUGACCGUACUUCCCAGAACUUCAUGUGGUACAGACAGUACUCUGGGAAAGGCCCUGAGUUUCUGGUGUACGCAUACUCCAACAACGACAAGAAUGAAGGAAAAUUUAUAGCUCAGCACAGUAGAGCCGGCCAAUAUAUCUCUCUGCUCAUCAGAGAUUCCCAGCCCAGCGACUCAGCCACCUACCUCUGUGCAGUGAGCACACGGUGCUCCCCCAGCACCUGCAGUCUGUACCCAAACCUGCUGGGGCCCUUCGAAUGCUUGAUAUAG
Equus quagga is the source of this 411-nucleotide non-coding RNA. NCBI's taxonomy places the organism in Eukaryota, Metazoa, Chordata, Mammalia, Perissodactyla, Equidae. The record is from the annotation of a RefSeq genome assembly.